This 3137-nucleotide long non-coding RNA is filed under the name Sus scrofa (pig). RNAcentral describes it as "lncRNA (ENSSSCG00005020771.1)". Lineage: Eukaryota; Metazoa; Chordata; Mammalia; Artiodactyla; Suidae. The record is from RNAcentral.
UUUUUUUUUUUUUUGGGGGGUGCACCUGUGGCAUGCAGAAAGAAGUUCCUGGGCUACUGAUUGAACCUUCACAACAGCAAUUACAACACUGGAUCCUUAAUUGCUAGGUCACCAGGGAACUCCUUCUGGUCUCUUAUUUAUUUAUGUUCUUCCUUGCAAUUUCCUUCCUUGUGCUACCUUAAGGCUGUUUGUUCUUUUUGUUGUUGUUGUUCCUGUAAGUGUAAAGUUAGGUUGUUUAUUUGAGAUCUUUCUUUUUUCUUAAUGUAGACAUUUAUCAUUGAAAAAUUUCCUCUUAGAACUGAUUUUACUGCAUCUCAUUAGCUUUGGUAUGUUUUAUUUUCCGUUUUCAUUUGUCUCAAGAUACUUUUUGACUCCUUCUUUGAUCCAUUGGUUGUUCAGGGGUGUGUUGUUUAGUGGGAUUGCCUCCAGGAUUGCAAUAAAACAAGACUGGAACUGAGUCAUGUGGCAACUGCUGGGUCCGCAGUGGUGUUUGUGAUUUUGCCAAGCCUUUUUUACCAUGAGCUUAGGUGGGCAUGGAUCCUGUUUGGUCUCUAAGUAGAUGACUCUAGAACCUUGGUCAGUAGGGCUGGUGCUGGGACAAGAGUCCACUUCAGGGUCUGUACUGGGUCUGCAGAGAGCUGGCCUGCUGUCAUGUACAGAUACAGGGGUGUCUUCUACCAGGUUUCUGGGAGAGAUCCUGCUGGAUAACUGGUCAGAUCCCUGAGCAUGCAGGAUUACUCUGGACCAUGGCUUAGAGUGGCUGGAACUGAGAUAAAAGACUGCUGUAUGGUCCACAGCUGGAAUUGAAGUCUGCAGGCCUGCUUCCAGGAGCAUGGAUGGGUAUGCCUCCUGCUAGGUUCCUGGGUGAGUCCAGCUGCCCCUGGACCAUGGCUAAGCAGGAUGGGAGGCAUGUCCCCAGUGGCAGAUACAGGUGGGGGACCUCUCCUUCAGCCAUCUUAAUGGCCUAUAACUUUAAAAAAAUUAAAAUGUGUUCUUAAAUUUUAAAAUUAGUAUAAAUUUAAAAUUAUUUAAAUUGGAAAACAUAGAAAAAUAGAAGUACAGUAUAAAGGCAUUUUAAACAUCGUUGGUCUUCUCCAGUUUUGUAGUUCUGGAAAGUUUAUCUUACACAGUGGUGACUAAAUGGCUAGUUAUAAUAUCCUGCUUUUAUACUUCACACUCUAAAUAAAAUAAAUGUAUAACACAAAUGUUUUUCCAUAGUAUAAUAAACUCCUUAUAAAUAUCACUUGAAAUGGCAAUGCCAUCAUUUACUUAACCAUUCCUCAAUAUUUUUAAUUACUUCCAAAUUUUGUAGAAAAUUUUAUUUUUAUAAAAUAUAUAACUGUUUGUAAUAAAAAUUAUAGGUAUUUUAACUAUUUCUGUAGGAUAAAUUCUCUAGAAAUGGAAUUUCUAAGUUAUAGGGUGUAAAUAUUUUAAGGCUUUUGAUAUAUAGUUCUAAAUUUAGCUUGCAAUAUUAAUGUCUUUCUUCAAUGGAAAAUUAUAGUAAAUUUCAUGGAUUUUUAACUGAACAUGGAUAAAAUUUUACUGCAAAAACACUUUGAGGUUUGAGGGAAGGGUAUUAGCUAACAUAUGUUAAAAGCUGAGUAAUUGGAACUAAUAAGAAAAGUCAGUUUGAAUUUGUGACUAAUUCUUAACUAUAGACUACUUUAAGACAAUGUGCUUUUAUUGUUGUAGUCCAUAAAAUAAUAUCUAGACUAAUGAAAAGUUUAUGGUACUCGGAGGCUUUGGCUCCCAGUCAGGCAGACUCAGCUUUAAAAUCACACUCUACCACCUACCACCUGACUUUGGGCAAGUUUCUUAACUUCUUUGCCUUAUUUUCUGCAUCUGUUCAAUGAAGAUAAUGUUUGUUCUUACUUCUUAGGGUAAUUGUGAGCCUUAAAUAAAAUCAUGUGUUCAGAGUGCCAAGUAUCUUUAUCUAUUAUUAAACAAGAAUAAUUUUCAACGGAAUUCCUAGUCAGUUAGAAUUUCUGCACCGAUAAACAGAUCAGUUAAAAAGUUUUAAAUAAAUAAACCUAUAAUCAAUGAAGUUUCUUAUGUAAAUGAGCUAACAUUUUCCAUGAAAUUAUAUUUGCUGUAUUACCAACUUUAUAUAUAUAUAUAAUUUAUAUAUGUGUGUGUAUAUAUAUGUAUAUAUGUUGUAUAUGUAAAAAAAAGCAAGCCAUAAAAAAAGCCUUUGUAUAAUUAAUACAAACAGUGAUGGAUUCUGAGUUAAUUAAAAGGUCUAUUUUUUUAUUUAUGGCUUUACUAUUUUUUAUUUUACAUUAGAGAGAAAAAAAGCUUGAUGUAAUGCUCUUCAUGUUUGGAUUAUGAAGAACAACAAUAAAAGCUAACUUCAAAAUUAAUGAAUAUACUUCAAAUAAGAUUCCAUCAAACAUAAAUACACUGAUAAUCUCAGUAUUUAUAACCUACAGCUAAGGGACAAAUAUAAAUGAAUCAUAUAAAAAAAAUCACUUAAUAUUUUUUCUAAGUUUCUCUGUAAGGAGCAAUUGAGGAAAAUUUUCUAGUGAAAAGCUGUCCCCCAGUGCAGAAGUGGGCACUGCAUUAGUAUGGGGGUGAGGCCAGUUCUGUUUCUACAGGCCAUUUUAUUUAUUUAUUUAUUUUGGCUGCGCCUAUGGCAUGUGGAAGUUCCUGGGCCAGGGUUUGAACCUGUGCCACAGCAGCGACCUGGGCUGCUACAGAGACAGCACCGGAUACGUAACCUACUGUACCACAAGGGAACUCCUCUACGGGCUAUUUUUGAUGCUAUUUGGUUACUGUGGUCUGUGGCUUUCUUACUCUAGCACUCACUUUACCUCAAAUUCUCCACUGUUUCUUAGCUCAGCAAAACUUUUUUUUUUUGGUCUUUUUUUAGGGGUGCAUCUGCAGCAAUAUGGAAAUUCCCAGGUUAGAGGUUGAACUGAAGCUGUAGCUACUGGCCUAAACUACAGCCACAGCAACAUGGGAUCCAAGCCGAAUCUGCGACCUACACCAAAGCUGAUGGCAAUGCCAGAUCCUUAACCCACUGAGCGAGGCCAGGGAUCUAACCUACGUCCUCAUGGAUAUUAGUGAGAUUCGUUUCCACUGAGCCAUACUGGGAAUUCCUCAUGAUCCAUUUGAUCUUGAAGCUCAGGCCAAUUUCA